UACGGAGGGUGCAAGCGUUGUCCGGAUUUAUUGGGCUUAAAGGGUGCGUAGGCGGCCCGUUAAGUCAGUGGUGAAAGCCUCCAGCUCAACUGGAGAACUGCCAUUGAUACUGACAGGCUUGAGUACAGACGAGGUUGGCGGAAUUGAUUGUGUAGCGGUGAAAUGCAUAGAUACAAUGAAGAACUCCGAUUGCGUAGGCAGCUAGCUAGGCUGUAACUGACGCUGAGGCACGAAAGCGUGGGGAGCGAACAGG
Molecule: ribosomal RNA, 253 nt
Filed under: uncultured bacterium
Lineage: Bacteria
Description: partial 16S ribosomal RNA
Rfam family: Bacterial small subunit ribosomal RNA
Source: RNAcentral